This 497-nucleotide ribosomal RNA is filed under the name uncultured bacterium. Its description in RNAcentral is "partial 16S ribosomal RNA". It matches the Rfam family "Bacterial small subunit ribosomal RNA", at positions 28 to 507 of the family's 1533-position model. The record is from RNAcentral.
GAUGAACGCUGGCGGCGUGCCUAAUACAUGCAAGUCGAGCGAACAGACGAGGAGCUUGCUCCUCUGACGUUAGCGGAGGACGGGUGAGAAACACGUGGAUAACCUACCUAUAAGACUGGGAUAACUUCGGGAAACCGGAGCUAAUACCGGAUAAUAUAUUGCACCGCAUGGUUCAAUAGUGAAAGACGGCGUUGUGGUCACUUAUAGAUGGAUCUGAGCCGCAUUAGCUAGUUGGUAAGGUAACGGCUUAUCAAGGCAACGAUGCGUAGCCGACGUAAGAGGGUGAUAGGCCACACGGGAACUGAGACACGGUCCAGACUCCUACGAGAGGCAGCAGUAGGGAAUCGUCCGCAAUGGUCGAAAGCCUUGCGGAGCAGCGCCGCGUGAGUGGUGAAGGUCUUCGGUGCGGAAAACUCUGUUUUUAGGGAAGAACAAAUGUGUAAGGAACUAUGCACGUAUUGACGGUACCGAAUCAGAAAGCCACGGCUAACUACGUG